UUCCUUAGUAGAUAAAGGACUAUUGCAGCUCCCAGUUUAUUCUUAAGUUUUGAUAAUUGGUGUUUUUGAAAGAAAUCUGUCUCAUCUGAAAUUUCAAAUUUAUUGCUAAAAAGCUGCUUACAAAUUCUCACCAUCCUUUCAGUGCCUCUAGUCUCAGUGCUGUCCCCUCUUUCAUUCUGAAUCAUAGGAAUGUGUGUCUCCUUUUUUCUUGAUAAGUCCAGUUAAAGAUUAUUGAUUUUGUUAAUCUUUUGAAAUCCACAGCUUUGGUUGUAUUAUGUUUUUUGUCCGUUUUUUGUUUCUUUAAUUUCUGUUUUUCAUUAUGUUCUGUUUCCUACUAACAUUCAGUAUCAUUUUUUUUUCUAGUUUUAAGGUAGGAAUUUAUUUAUUUACUUUUCUUAAAGAUUUUAUUUAUUUAUUUGAGAGUUAGAGUUACAGACAGUGAGAAGGAGAGACAGAGAGAAAGGUCUUCCGUCCGUUGGUUCACUCCCCAAAUAGCCACAACGGCUGGAGCUUUGCCAAUCCAAAAGGAACCAAGAGCUUCCUCUGGUCUCCCACACAGGUGCAGGGGCCCAAGGACUUGAGCAUCUUCUACUGUUUUCCCAGACCAUAGCAGUGAGCUGAUUUGGAAGAGGAGCAGCUGGGACUAGAAUCGGUGCCCAUAUGGCAUGCUCGUGAUGCAGGCAGAGGAUUAACCUACUGCGCCACAGCACUGGCCUUUAAGGCUAUUCGCAGGGAGCUGGAUGUGGAGCAGCCAGGAUAUGAACCGCCAUCCAUGUGGGACGCCGGCAUCGCAGGCAGCAGUGUUACUUGCUGUGCCACAAGGCAGUCCCUGCCAUCAAUUUUAAUUUAAUCAUUUGUGGAUGGAUUACGCAUUUGAUGAUUUGUCUUCCAACGUUCAAGAUGGCGGGUGAGGCAGAACACCGUGCCCUGGGUGUGUUCGAGUGCCAGCUGUGUGCCCUGACAGCUCCCUACAGCUACAUGGGCCAGAAGCCUCCCACCACCCAGUCUGUUGUGUGAGUACACGCUGUGUGGGCUACUCCCCUGGAUGGCCCUGUGCAGAACUGGUUGGUGGGCACUGUGAGUCAGACUCCUGGCUGGAGGUUGGUGCUCUAGACCCAUCCUUGCCCAGGCUCUGGAAUAUUCAGGUAUGACCUAGGAGGCACCAAAAUGGUUUCAGUGCCAUCUGACUCUUCCAGAAUUCCAUCCUCUACCUAUCCCAUGCAGACCAGGGUUUGGCACUUGCUCCAUUCGGGGCCCUCAAGCGCAGUGGCAUAGGCUGGGGCAGCCCAGCAGCAGGGCACAGGCAGCACGGUGCCACCGGCUCAUUUGGUGAUGCUGCAGGUGGAAAGCCCGUGUCUGGGCUGUCUUCAUGCUGCUGGGAGAGUCCUGAGGACCAGCUUCCCGCCAUUCUGCCCAGAGCAGGCCAGAGCAGAUCCCCAGGCUGCUGGGCUUGUUUCUUGGCCUCCAGCUUAUCCUUCAUUCAAUGUCCCACUGUAGACAAGCUGACCAAUGUGGUUCUCAGGUGGGACACAGAGGCAGGGAA
Lepus europaeus (European hare) is the source of this 1543-nucleotide long non-coding RNA. RefSeq lists it as uncharacterized. The record is from RefSeq and is a predicted model, not a curated record. The transcript is spliced from 3 exons. NCBI's taxonomy places the organism in Eukaryota, Metazoa, Chordata, Mammalia, Lagomorpha, Leporidae.